RNAcentral lists this small RNA (653 nucleotides) under Pongo abelii (Sumatran orangutan). RNAcentral's name for it is "processed transcript". The record is from RNAcentral. Lineage: Eukaryota; Metazoa; Chordata; Mammalia; Primates; Hominidae.
GUAGAGGCUUGCUACAGAAGCUACAGAAGAAGAUGGUUACAUUUCAAGUGGGCAGGUGCCAUUUGCUUAUGAGCACCAUCAGCCACAUCAGCCACAAUUCUUUGAAUUUUACCUAAUUGUCUCUAAUUCUUAACAAUUCUUUGAGGUGAUCUGCAACUCUUUCACCAUCUGUAAUGCAGAGAUGCAGGAAGUUGGUGUUGGCCUAUAUCCUAGUAUCUCUUUGCUCAAUCACAGCUGUGACCCCAACUGUUCGAUUGUGUUUAAUGGGCCCCACCUCUUACUGCGAGCAGUCCGAGACAUCGAGGUGGGAGAGGAGGAUGCUGAUAUGCUAACUGGUGAUGAGCAAGUAUGGAAGGAAGUUCAAGAAUCCCUGAAAAAAAUUGAAGAACUGAAGGCACACUGGAAGUGGGAGCAGGUUCUGGCCAUGUGCCAGGCGAUCAUAAGCAGCAAUUCUGAACGGCUUCCCGAUAUCAACAUCUACCAGCUGAAGGUGCUCGACUGCGCCAUGGAUGCCUGCAUCAACCUCGGCCUGUUGGAGGAAGCCUUGUUCUAUGGUACUCGGACCAUGGAGCCAUACAGUUAAAUAAGACCAGGAAAAAAUCUUCUUUUAAAAAACUGAGCUCGAUCUGUCCUGAUUCCUGGUGCUGCUUCAG